This 493-nucleotide ribosomal RNA is filed under the name uncultured bacterium. RNAcentral describes it as "bacterial SSU rRNA". It matches the Rfam family "Bacterial small subunit ribosomal RNA", at positions 15 to 518 of the family's 1533-position model. The record is from RNAcentral.
GAUCCUGGCUUAGGAUGAACGCUAGCGACAGGCUUAACACAUGCAAGUCGAGGGGCAGCGCGGAGGUAGCAAUACUUCUGGCGGCGACCGGCGCACUGGUGAGUAACACGUAUGCGACCUGCCCCGGACAGGGGGAUAAACCCGGGAAACUGGGCCUAAUACCCCAUAUGUAUCGAGGAUGCAUGUCCUUGAUAUGAAAGAUCCGUCGGUCCGGGAUGGGCAUGCGGCGCAUUAGCUAGUUGGCGGGGCAACGGCCCACCAAGGCGACGAUGCGUAGGGGUUCUGAGAGGAAGGUCCCCCACACUGGUACUGAGACACGGACCAGACUCCUACGGGAGGCAGCAGUGAGGAAUUUUGCGCAAUGGGGGAAACCCUGACGCAGCCAACGCCGCGUGAGUGAUGACGGCCUUCGGGUUGUAAAGCUCUGUCGUGUGUGACGAGUAGGGACGGUAACACACAAGGAAGCCUCGGCUAACUACGUGCCAGCAGCCGC